CUCAUUUUCCCGCCAUUUCUCUAAACUCUUCAUUCCCCUUGAUGUGAACCGAACGCGGGAUCCGAAUAACACAUUCGGGUCAUUAUAACCCGACUUCUUACGUUUCAUUCGCAUAGACCUAGGGUUUCUCCUGUCUCCUUCCACAUACGCCUCUCUCUCUCUUCCCAUCGCUUCCUCAAACCCUAGAUUCUCUACUCCUCUCUCCCUCCGCUCUUUAGAACUCUGCAUAGAUCUUUCUUUAGAAUCAUCGCCACUCUCCUUCGCUCCAAUCUCCAACGCUCUCCUUCCAGAUCUCCAUCGGCUGCAAAUCCUCGAUGACGUUGAAGAUCAUUCAUCCUUUUCUUUUUGAUUAUGUCACAUCUUGAAAGAUCCACCACACUCUCUUCAACCCAGAAUCUGUUGGUAUAUAUUUCGCCAAUGGUUCAGUUCAUGUUGUUUGAGAACACCAACGGGAAAUUGUCAUACCAGGAGGCGAAAUCGUGCCGGAAAAGAGAUUCCGUUGUUCCUCAAUGAGACUGGCGAGUAAAAAUUUGUAGUCAUCUUCUUCUCCAAUGGCUAAUCAGUUAUAUUGGAAGAUUCUGACUUUAAAGAAACGGAUAAUCGGGUGCAAGUUUACAACCAGAGCCACAGUUCUGGACAACAGACGGAACACGGGUUUGCUUACAUCGGACCAGCCUAAUCGAGAUGAAAUCGGCUUUCAGUUCCUAGGAAAUGUUUCCGGCCAGCCUUAUAUUCUACAAACAAGUGUAUAUGCUGACGGUUUUGAUAACCGAGAAGAUAGAAUUUACCUAUGGUUUGAUGCCACAAAGGAUUUCCAUACAUAUUCUAUCUUAUGGAAUCUUCAUCAAUUUGUUUAAAAUGAUUCAAGAUACAUCAUCGGAUAUUUCCCGAACCACAGUUGUAUCUCAAGCUGACACCGUUUGCACGCUGCCAGUAUUGGCGACUACAUCGGAUGGGACCCUUCGGCGGUCAACAAAACGACGAAAACACGUCAGCUUUGUGACCCCAACAAGUCAAGAUGUUCGGUCAAUAGAGCCGAUUCUUGAGCAAAAUACAACAACUGAUCAAGAUUUAUAUCUGGAUACUCUUUACUCAACAAACUAAAACAUUGGUGACAGGUUUGGCUUUCUCUUCAAAUGACAUGUUUUUGUUUGGCCAAAUUGACAUGCCAAUCAAGUUGGUACCGGGUCAUUCAACCGGUACAGUCUUGGCAUUCUAUCUUACAUCGGAUCAGCCUAAUAGAGAUGAAAUCUACUUUCAGUUCCUAGGAAAUGUUUCCGGCCAACCUUAUAUUCUACAAACAAGUGUAUAUGCUGACGGUUUUGAUAACCGAGAAGAGAGAAUUUACCUGUGGUUUGAUCCCACAAAGGAUUUCCAUACCUAUUCUAUCUUAUGGAAUCUUCAUCAAAUUGUGUAAGCGUUUCCUUUGUCGAACCAAUCUUUUCUAGCGUUUGCCCUUUUGUAACUAAAAUGUAAAAAGAUGGUUUAAAUGGGUCAGGAAAUAUCCUUAUGAUUAUUGCCAAGAUAAUAAGAGAUUUAAUAAUAAUCUCCCCAAAGAAUGUUAUAUUUCAAGGUAUUGAUUCUUUGAUCUCCAUCAAAGAAUCUCUUUAGCUUAUGAUUCCAGUCAUAUUAAUAAUAAUCAGUCAUGAGGUAUGGUUUUCAUAACAUUAUAAUAUACUUGUGGUUUACCAGAACCGUUGUGGAAAUUGUAGCUUUUUUUCUUUUCAAGAAUUGCACCCAUGGCUUGACUUCCUUUAUAUGCUUCUUUAGAAUUUAGAUGUUUAAUGUAUACUUCUGAAAGUUGAUCACAUGGCAUGCCCUAUGUUGAUGCGAUAGUCAGAUGAAAGAAGCUACAGAGCGGUAUUCCUGUUUAAUUUACGUUAAUAUGUUAAUAUAUAUUUAUUUUCAUAAUCACAGUAUCUAAUUUAUCUUUAUAAGAUUUAUAUUGUUUCUUUUCUGCUUCAAGUUCGUACUUAUAAAAAAAUAUUUUUUGUUUUUGUUUACAGAAGUAUCACAUACAAUAUUCUUAGCUUUCAAUCCGUGACUUAUGUGUUGGUAGGAUUUUUCCAUCUAUUUAACUUAAUAUUAAAGGUUUGGUGUUUGAUAUAUAAACAAUGGUAUUAUAUCAGUUUUCAAUUAAAUAAGAUACUUGUGAUGAUAAAACUGGUGCAGUGGCAUCAAGCUUUAUCACAAUAACAUGAAAAGAAAAGAUGAUUGUUUGAUUUUAAUGAUGGAUGAUGCAGGGUUUAAAUCAUGUACGCACAUUGAAGGGUCAUGAGCAUAAGGUGAUGGCUUUAGUUUUUGUAGAGAGGGAAGUACCAUUAUGUAUAAGCGGUGAUAAUGUGGGGGGGGGGGGGUCAUGGUCAUUUUGGGCAUUGAGGACGAGAAGCCAGUGGCGGCUUUGAUGGUGUGCGGCGAGGACCUCCGCACAAGGCCCGUGAUUUCGAAGGGCACGCGAUUUUAAAAAAAUCCGAUAUAUAUAUGUUAUUCUUUUUAGAUAGUAAAUACAUAACAAUUCCAAUAUAGGACCAUUUACAAAUAAGUUUUUAUUGUUUAGAAUUUACCCGACUUGGCAUUAGGUUUAUUGAGCCCAAUACUAAUUUGAUCUUUUUUAAUAAUAAUAAACCAUUACAGAAUGGCAGAUUUUUUUCAAGCUCAAACAGGGUACGGAAUUCUCAGAGACACCUCUGCGAGAAGCCAAUCAGAAGAAUGAAUGAGGAAAAGAUUGGCGUUACAGUGGUAUUCAUGCCCUUGCAGCAGCUGUUUCUGGAUCUGAUUAUUUUUAUGCACGCAGUGGGGAUAAGUCAGUAAAGGCCUGGUCGAUGCAUGCAAGAUUAUUGUCUAUCAUGUACUAUGAAUGACAAGUCAUAAAUCAUUGGUGUGUACAUACCAACUAGAACAUGGAAGCAAUGGAUAUUUGCCCAGCUUUGAUCACGUUCAUUUAAAAUUCUUCGUCAUGCUUUUGUAAUGAUAUUUAGUUAUUUACAUGUUUUAUAUUUCCUUUGUACAGAUAAAUAAAUGUGAUGUAUAAAGAAUCUUUAAAGACGUGAUUUUUUUUUGUAUUUUAAUCUUUAACUUCAGAUUUACAUAA
Molecule: RNA transcript, 3091 nt
Organism: Helianthus annuus (common sunflower)
Lineage: Eukaryota; Viridiplantae; Streptophyta; Magnoliopsida; Asterales; Asteraceae
Exons: 7
Source: RefSeq, a predicted model, not a curated record